AUGCAGCCGGGCGCGGCGGGAGGCGGCAGCAGCCGGCUCCUGUGUUGCAGGGAAAGCGGGGCGGACCCGGCCGUCACAAGCCGGAGGCGGCGGAGAGCGGGACGCGGCCGGUCACGGGGCGGGCACCCGAAGCCGGCACGAAGCAGGCGGCCCAGGCAUGGGGGGCCGACUGUGCGGCGAGCAGGAGUCGGCCCCAGGAGGACCGAGUGGCGGAGGCGCGUGGGAGCAGACAGGCGGCCGCCGUACCAGCGCAGGCGAGGCGGAGUCCGAGCUCGGGGUGGAGCACCCGGCCGCUGGCAGAGGCAGAGGUGGCCGGGGCGGAGCCGGCAGGCACGAAGCACCCGACCGGGAGGCGCGAGCAGCCGGCGUCGACGGAGUGGCGAAGGAGGCGACGAGGCGCGGCAGCAGCCGGCCGAGGAGCCGUUGCCACAGCCGGCACGGACAGCGGAGCCGGCAGGCGGGUGGAACCAGGCGGCGAGGCGGGUGAGGAGGCGGCGCCGGUGUUGGCGGAGGGGCGUCCGGCCGGGCGCGCACGGGAGGCGGACCAGCGGCGCGGGAAGCCGGCCCGUUGCAGGCCGGGUGGUAGAGGUGGCUCGGAGCAGGCGGCCACAGGCGGGGCGGACCCGGCGGUCGGGAGGCCGACGAGCAGUCGGCUGGCGGAGCACCUGGCCACGGGCAAGGCGGCCAGAGGGGCGCGGGAGGCGGCCAGGUGUGCGGAGCAGCGCAGGCGGCGGGGGCCGGAGCUGCAGGCGGAGAUGGCGCUCGGGGCGCGGCCGCGCGGUAGAGGCGUCCGGGCAUGCAGGCGGCCAGAGCCGGCGAGCCGGCCAUCCGGCGUGGGAGCAGCAGGCGCGGACCCGGCAGUGGCGGCGAGCCGGCCGGACGGGAUGCGGCCACGGCGGGAGCGGAAACCGGCCUCCACGGCGGCAGCCGAGGCGGGCGGGGAGGCACGCGAGGGGAGCCGAGGCACGGUGCGCUGCGGGGCUCGGGAGGGAGAGCUCGCACGCAGGGCCUGCGUGUGCCGAGGCAGCGGCCUCGAGAGGAGCUUCGCGGGCAGUGCAGGGGCGCAGCCGGGGCAGUGCGUUAGCGGUGACUCUGCGAGUGCGGCGGCGAAACUGCGGCUGCAGUAGAGCAGCGCAGGGUCGAGGUCGAGCCACUGUCCGGGCCGUUAUCUGA
RNAcentral lists this ribosomal RNA (1173 nucleotides) under Triticum aestivum (bread wheat). RNAcentral describes it as "partial small subunit ribosomal RNA". The record is from RNAcentral. Lineage: Eukaryota; Viridiplantae; Streptophyta; Magnoliopsida; Poales; Poaceae.